AGUAACACCUGGCUCAGUGUGCCAUUUCCUUGUCUGUAGCCAUGUCUAUGGGCCCUUGAGUUAGCCACCUGGGUGAGGGCCUGCU
RNAcentral lists this microRNA precursor (85 nucleotides) under Nomascus leucogenys (northern white-cheeked gibbon). Its description in RNAcentral is "mir-571 microRNA precursor family". It matches the Rfam family "mir-571 microRNA precursor family". Lineage: Eukaryota; Metazoa; Chordata; Mammalia; Primates; Hylobatidae. The record is from Rfam by way of RNAcentral.